AAASCCUGAMGGAGCAACSCCGCKUGAGUGAUGAAGGGUUUCGGCUCGUAAAACUCUGUUAUUAGGGAAGAACAAAUGUGUAAGUAACUGUGCACGUCUUGACGGUACCUAAUCAGAAAGCCACGGCUAACUACGUGCCAGCAGCCGCGGUAAUACGUAGGUGGCAAGCGUUAUCCGGAAUUAUUGGGCGUAAAGCGCGCGUAGGCGGUUUCUUAAGUCUGAUGUGAAAGCCCACGGCUCAACCGUGGAGGGUCAUUGGAAACUGGGAAACUUGAGUGCAGAAGAGGAAAGUGGAAUUCCAUGUGUAGCGGUGAAAUGCGCAGAGAUAUGGAGGAACACCAGUGGCGAAGGCGACUUUCUGGUCUGUAACUGACGCUGAUGUGCGAAAGCGUGGGGAUCAAACAGGAUUAGAUACCCUGGUAGUCCACGCCGUAAACGAUGAGUGCUAAGUGUUAGGGGGUUUCCGCCCCUUAGUGCUGCAGCUAACGCAUUAAGCACUCCGCCUGGGGAGUACGACCGCAAGGUUGAAACUCAAAGGAAUUGACGGGGACCCGCACAAGCGGUGGAGCAKGUGGUUUAAUUCGAAGCAACGCGAAGAACCUUACCAAAUCUUGACAUCCUUUGAAAACUCUAGAGAUAGAGCCUUCCCCUUCGGGGGACAAAGUGACAGGUGGUGCAUGGUUGUCGUCAGCUCGUGUCGUGAGAUGUUGGGUUAAGUCCCGCAACGAGCGCAACCCUUAAGCUUAGUUGCCAUCAUUAAGUUGG
RNAcentral lists this ribosomal RNA (765 nucleotides) under Staphylococcus saprophyticus. Its description in RNAcentral is "bacterial SSU rRNA". It matches the Rfam family "Bacterial small subunit ribosomal RNA", at positions 378 to 1134 of the family's 1533-position model. Lineage: Bacteria; Bacillati; Bacillota; Bacilli; Caryophanales; Staphylococcaceae. The record is from RNAcentral.